RNAcentral lists this ribosomal RNA (385 nucleotides) under marine Metazoa environmental sample. Its description in RNAcentral is "SSU rRNA". It matches the Rfam family "Eukaryotic small subunit ribosomal RNA", at positions 587 to 972 of the family's 1831-position model. Lineage: Eukaryota; Metazoa. The record is from RNAcentral.
AGCUCCAAUAGCGUAUAUUAAAGUUGCUGCAGUUAAAAAGCUCGUAGUUGGAUCUCGGGGUACCUGGUCUAGCCGGUAUAGCUCACGCUAAAACUGGUCUGACCCCCCAACGUGAGGUAUUCGUCUCCGGGUGCACUUCAUUGGGUGCUCGUGAGGGGCCUCGUAGUUACUGUGAAAAAAUUAGAGUGUUCAAAGCAGGCUCAUAUGUUCGGAUAGUCGUGCAUGGAAUAACUAAAUACGUACCGGGGGCUUUCCGUUGGGUCCGGGGACUUGGUAAAUGGAUAAGAGGGACUUCCGGGGGCAUUGGUAUGGCGGGGUUAGAGGUGAAAUUCUUGGAUCCUCGCCAGACCAACAAAAGCGAAAGCAUUUGCCAAGAAUGUCUUCA